Molecule: ribosomal RNA, 430 nt
Filed under: Pseudomonadota bacterium
Lineage: Bacteria; Pseudomonadati; Pseudomonadota
Description: Proteobacteria bacterium partial 16S ribosomal RNA
Rfam family: Bacterial small subunit ribosomal RNA
Source: RNAcentral
UGGGGAAUAUUGGACAAUGGGGGGAACCCUGAUCCAGCCAUGCCGCGUGUGUGAAGAAGGCCUUAUGGUUGUAAAGCUCUUUAAGCGAGGAGGAGGGUACUGGUAUUAAUACUACCAGGUACUGGACGUUACUCGCAGAAUAAGCACCGGCUAACUCUGUGCCAGCAGCCGCGGUAAUACAGAGGGUGCGAGCGUUAAUCGGAUUUACUGGGCGUAAAGCGUGCGUAGGCGGCUAAUUGAGUCGGAUGUGAAAUCCCCGAGCUUAACUUGGGAAGUGCAUUCGAUACUGGUUAGCUAGAGUGUGGGGGAGGAUGGUAGAAUUCCAGGUGUAGCGGUGAAAUGCGUAGAGAUCUGGAGGAAUACCGAUGGCGAAGGCAGCCAUCUGGCCUAACACUGACGCUGAGGUACGAAAGCAUGGGGAGCAAACAGG